GGCCGCCUCUCCUCCGGCUUCCCGCCUAGUGAGCGCACCUUGGACGCCUGCGGCUUUUCCGAGCCGAAACUCACGGGCUGUGGCCGGCUUCGUUUCGUGUCGUGCAGCUCCGCGACCGCCCGUCGCCACACCAUUCAGGGACUUCGUGCUUUACGAUGGGGGCGCAGUGGCCUGGCACACGCAGGACCCCGGGCCUCGAACCCUCGCGCUGGCCGCCCUGGACCCGCGGCGGGGACCCGCACAGUCAGAGUACCUGCCCAUACCGAUGGGGUGGGGACCACCACGGAGCCUUUCCUUGGCCCCGCGGCUUCUGUUCCUUUGGAGACGGACAGCGCCCACCCGGAGGAAAGCCUGACAGACGAGACUUCGCAAGGAUCAGCAAGAAGGCACAUGUGAAGCUCACCCAGGUUCUGUCUGUUUCUGCUCUCGUACAAAGACCCCAUAUGGAGCCAGUGACAACGAGGNNNNNNNNNNNNNNNNNNNNNNNNNCAAGGAUCAGCAAGAAGGCACAUGUGAAGCUCACCCAGGUUCUGUCUGUUUCUGCUCUCGUACAAAGACCCCAUAUGGAGCCAGUGACAACGAGGGCCAUGGGGAAGGCAGGAACCUGCCAGUUCAGGGAGGCCCAUCUUUCUAGAAGGUUAACAGGAACUUCCAGCCUCCAGCCUACUUAGUGACCGGCUGCUGGAGGACGGUGAGCGGCCCCUGCUGUCCACGUCUCCACGGGGGUCACCGAGCACACUCACAGGGUCCCCCUCUCCACCUGGAGCAGAGAAUUUGGAGGAGCCCGUCUUGCUGUCUUUUCUGAUGUUGUUAAACUAUGCUUGGGCCUGCCCGUUGCUCAGAGGAGCUUUCUACACAGCUGGACUUCUGAGGUGGGACCUGCCACGUGCUAACACCAGCACUCGGAACAGUCUCUGCCACUGGCAACAUCCUGUCCUGAACAUCUCCAAUGUGACCUCUCUCCUGAAAGGCCUGUGUGCGACUUAUCUGUGAAGCUGGAAGAAAGUUCUGGAACUUCCCCUUCUCCUUUGGUGCAAAGUUACACUAACUGUCAUGAUGUUGUUGAUUUCCAUUUUUUUUUGUUGUUCUUGUUGAGACGGAGUCUCACUCUGUUGCCUGGGUUGGAGUGCAGUGGCGCGAUCUCGGCUCACUACGGCCUCCGCCUCCUGGGUUCAAGUGAUUCUCCUGCUUCAGCCUCCCAAGUAGCUGGGAUUACAGGCACCUGCCACCACAGCUGGCUGAUUUUGUAUUUGUAGUAGAGACAGGGUUUCACUAUGUUGACCAGGCUGGUCUUAAAUUCCUGACCUCAGGUGAUCUGCCCACCUCAGCCUCCCAAAGUGCUGGGAUUACAGGCGUGAGCCACUGUGCCCGGCCUUGAUUUCCUUCUUAAGCAGAGUUGAGUCUCUGUCCACACCAGUGCUGCCUGGGCCUUCCUGAGCACCUGUGGCUGGCAUCCCUUCCCAUCUCUCCACCCUGUGGCAGGCAGCAGUCUUGCUGUUCCCCGGCACCUCUGCCAAGCUGCCUUCAGAGCUGCAUUCGGGAAGCCACUGCACAGCCACAAUGCAUGCUGAAUGCAUCCAUAUGCAGAAUUCACUCACAUGUCAUACAGUUAGUCAAAAAUGUCGAGGCCCUGCCAGCUGGAGAGAUGGGGGAGAAUACGGAUCCCUCCAUGAGUCCAAGCCGGCGGUACAAUCCCCUCAGGCCCCCUCCUCCUCCUGUGCUCCAGGUUUUCUAUUUCAAGGCUGCUGUUUACUUCCUUACUGUAUGUCAGCUCAGUCAUGGAUUUUAAACGAUGCAUAUAUAUAUAUAUUUUGCUUGUUUGUUCGUUUGUUUGUUUGAGAUGGAGUCUUGCUCUGUCACCCAGGCUGGAGUGCAGUGGUGUGAUCUCAGCUCACUGCAGCCUCUGCCUCCUGGGUUCAAGCAGUUCUCCUGCCUCAGCCUCCUGUGCUUU
This is a long non-coding RNA of Cercocebus atys (sooty mangabey), 1951 nucleotides long. The record is from Ensembl. Lineage: Eukaryota; Metazoa; Chordata; Mammalia; Primates; Cercopithecidae.